ACUGUCGCAGAGGGGAAAGGUCACCAGUCAAGCUGACCAAUCAAAGGAUAACUCUAAAUCCCUCCCUCUGCACGAUAAAAAUACGCAAAUUGGGGCGGGCCUAGUUCGGAAAGAUGCCGGAAGUGUUUCUGUGGCCAUCUUGAGCAGGUCGCAAGCUAAAUCCUGCCAUCUUAGGAGAGUCUCGCCCUGAUGUCCAGGCUGGAGUGCAAUCACUCAGUCUCGGCUCACUGCAACCUCCACCUCCUGGGUUCAGAUGCUGUUGACUGGGGCAAAGAAUAAUGGGAGAAAAACAGCUGAGUCCUAAAUAACAGAGGGAAACCAACUUUCAAUAAAGUAUUCAACAACUAA
RNAcentral lists this non-coding RNA (348 nucleotides) under Pongo abelii (Sumatran orangutan). The record is from RNAcentral. Lineage: Eukaryota; Metazoa; Chordata; Mammalia; Primates; Hominidae.